This 484-nucleotide ribosomal RNA is filed under the name uncultured bacterium. RNAcentral's name for it is "partial 16S ribosomal RNA". It matches the Rfam family "Bacterial small subunit ribosomal RNA", at positions 29 to 507 of the family's 1533-position model. The record is from RNAcentral.
AUUGAACGCUGGCGGCAUGCUUUACACAUGCAAGUCGAACGGCAGCGCGGGCUUCGGCCUGGCGGCGAGUGGCGAACGGGUGAGUAAUGCAUCGGAACGUGCCCAGUAGUGGGGGAUAGCCCGGCGAAAGCCGGAUUAAUACCGCAUACGACCUGAGGGUGAAAGCGGGGGACCGAAAGGCCUCGCGCUAUUGGAGCGGCCGAUGUCGGAUUAGCUAGUUGGUGGGGUAAAGGCUUACCAAGGCGACGAUCCGUAGCUGGUCUGAGAGGACGACCAGCCACACUGGGACUGAGACACGGCCCAGACUCCUACGGGAGGCAACAGUGGGGAAUUUUGGACAAUGGGGGCAACCCUGAUCCAGCCAUGCCGCGUGCGGGAAGAAGGCCUUCGGGUUGUAAACCGCUUUUGUUCGGGAAGAAAUCCUCUGGGCUAAUACCCCGGGGGGAUGACGGUACCGGAAGAAUAAGCACCGGCUAACUACGUG